AGCUGACAUUACAAUUAGAGCUGCUCAGUAUAUCGUUUGAGCUUCGUCAUCGCGAUGUCCGUGUGCGCAAUAGUCACAUCGCAGGUCCUGCAGUGUAGGAGGCAAAUGAACUCAACAUGUUCUCAUCUAAUUUCAGCCUGGGUA
Long non-coding RNA from Sphaeramia orbicularis (orbiculate cardinalfish), 144 nucleotides. RefSeq lists it as uncharacterized. The transcript is spliced from 3 exons. NCBI's taxonomy places the organism in Eukaryota, Metazoa, Chordata, Actinopteri, Kurtiformes, Apogonidae. The record is from RefSeq and is a predicted model, not a curated record.